GCCUCCUUGGCUUAGUCGUAUAGCGCGUGCUUGGUAAGCACGAGGUCCGGGGUUCAAAUCCCCGAGGAGGCU
Molecule: transfer RNA, 72 nt
Filed under: Nanobdellota archaeon
Lineage: Archaea; Nanobdellati; Nanobdellota
Also listed under: 1 other name
Description: tRNA-Thr
Rfam family: tRNA
About the family: Transfer RNA (tRNA) molecules are approximately 80 nucleotides in length. Their secondary structure includes four short double-helical elements and three loops (D, anti-codon, and T loops).
Source: RNAcentral